Tachysurus fulvidraco (yellow catfish) is the source of this 802-nucleotide long non-coding RNA. RefSeq lists it as uncharacterized. The transcript has 2 exons. NCBI's taxonomy places the organism in Eukaryota, Metazoa, Chordata, Actinopteri, Siluriformes, Bagridae. The record is from RefSeq and is a predicted model, not a curated record.
UGUGUGUGUGAUGUAUAUUGUGUGUGUGUGUGAUGUAUAUUGUGUGUGUGUGAUGUAUAUUGUGUGUGUGAUGGAGCUGUGGCUGAUGUUUCAGCUUGACCUCGUUUCAUGUUGUUGUUGUUGUUGUUGUUGUUGUUGUUGUUGUUGUUGUUGUUGUUGACCCCUUUCCUGUAAUGCAUGUCUGGAUUGUUUCCUGGUCGACUCCACGCUCUCUGAGCCCAUUUGUAUUCGUUACACACUCCUCACACUCUAAGCAGGAGGACAGCGUCCUCACUUCAGAGCUUGACGUCUCUAUCUGUCUGAAGCUGGUGCACUUGGCAGCGAGCCUUCAGCCGUUUGGAACCGGAGCCUUGAUUUCCUGCCAGAACUCAUUUCCUCUGAGUCGAGUAUUGAGUGUCUUAAACAAGGUUCUUUAACCUUGAGCCGGUCUGUAGGUUUCUCCUGGACACAUGAUCUCCUGAAGGCCUGCGUCAGGCUGCUGCUGUACACUCUGCUUUCCGUGCUGUGAUGACCAACAGGAAGUAAACAGGAAGUAGAUGAUUUGACAAGGAGAAGGUCCUCGCACACCGAGGCAGCUUAGAACCGGCUCCAUGCGGAUCUCCAUACUGAGCUGGUGGCUCAUGAUGUUCUGAUGCUCGCAGUCUGACAGAUGACCACAGACACUCAUGACAAAUCCAAACUUUCAUCCAAUGAUCGAUCCUGUGGAGCUCGUAGUCUUCAAAAAGAUGUGUGGUCUCAUCUUCUCCUGUUCUGUACGAGCUCUCGCUGAAUAAAAUGAGAGAGAUAUAUCUCAGGAGGUGAA